UCUGUAGGCGGAGUGGAAAGUUGGGCGUGAAAGCUCCGGGCUUAACCCGGAGAGGACGUUCAAUACUACCAAACUAGAGGGCAUCAGAGGAGCGUGGAAUUUCCGGUGUAGCGGUAAAAUGCGCAGAUAUCGGAAGGAACACCAGUGGCGAAGGCGGCGCUCUGGGAUGCACCUGACGCUAAGAGACGAAAGCUAGGGGAGCGAACAGGAUUAGAUACCCUGGUAGUCC
RNAcentral lists this ribosomal RNA (229 nucleotides) under uncultured bacterium. Its description in RNAcentral is "partial 16S ribosomal RNA". It matches the Rfam family "Bacterial small subunit ribosomal RNA", at positions 568 to 796 of the family's 1533-position model. The record is from RNAcentral.